UACGUAGGGUGCAAGCGUUGUCCGGAAUUAUUGGGCGUAAAGAGCUCGUAGGCGGUCUGUUGCGUCGGCUGUGAAAACCCGGGGCUCAACUCCGGGCCUGCAGCCGAUACGGGCAGACUAGAGUUCGGCAGGGGAGACUGGAAUUCCUGGUGUAGCGGUGAAAUGCGCAGAUAUCAGGAGGAACACCAAUGGCGAAGGCAGCUCGCUGGAACGGUACUGACGCUGAGGCGCGAAAGCGUGGGGAGCGAACAGG
This 253-nucleotide ribosomal RNA is filed under the name uncultured bacterium. RNAcentral's name for it is "partial 16S ribosomal RNA". It matches the Rfam family "Bacterial small subunit ribosomal RNA", at positions 524 to 776 of the family's 1533-position model. The record is from RNAcentral.